RNAcentral lists this ribosomal RNA (506 nucleotides) under uncultured bacterium. RNAcentral's name for it is "partial 16S ribosomal RNA". It matches the Rfam family "Bacterial small subunit ribosomal RNA", at positions 29 to 523 of the family's 1533-position model. The record is from RNAcentral.
AGUGAACGCUGGCGGCAGGCCUAACACAUGCAAGUCGAACGGUAACAGGAAACAGCUUGCUGUUUCGCUGACGAGUGGCGGACGGGUGAGUAAUGACUGGGAAACUGCCUGAUGGAGGGGGAUAACUACUGGAAACGGUAGCUAAUACCGCAUAACGUCGCAAGACCAAAGAGGGGGACCUUCGGGCCUCUUGCCAUCGGAUGUGCCCAGAUGGGAUUAGCUAGUAGGUGGGGUAACGGCUCACCUAGGCGACGAUCCCUAGCUGGUCUGAGAGGAUGACCAGCCACACUGGAACUGAGACACGGUCCAGACUCCUACGGGAGGCAGCAGUGGGGAAUAUUGCACAAUGGGCGCAAGCCUGAUGCAGCCAUGCCGCGUGUAUGAAGAAGGCCUUCGGGUUGUAAAGUACUUUCAGCGGGGAGGAAGGGAGUAAAGUUAAUACCUCUGCUCAUUGACGUUACCCGCAGAAGAAGCACCGGCUAACUCCGUGCCAGCAGCCGCAGUAA